This 259-nucleotide ribosomal RNA is filed under the name uncultured archaeon. RNAcentral describes it as "partial 16S ribosomal RNA". It matches the Rfam family "Archaeal small subunit ribosomal RNA", at positions 748 to 1008 of the family's 1478-position model. The record is from RNAcentral.
AGGGUGUAAACGCUGCAGACUUGGUGUUGGGAACCCUUCGGGGUGCUCAGUGCCGGAGAGAAGUUGUUAAGUCUGCUACUUGGGGAGUACGUCCGCAAGGAUGAAACUUAAAGGAAUUGGCGGGGAGCACCGCAACGGGAGGAGCGUGCGGUUUAAUUGGAUUCAACGCCGAAAAACUCACCAGCAGCGACUGUUACAUGAAAGUCAGGUUGAUGACCUUACUAGAUUUUCAGAGAGGUGGUGCAUGGCGUCAGUGACU